CCUACGGGGGGCAGCAGUGGGGGAUAUUGCACAAUGGGGGGAACCCUGAUGCAGCGACGCCGCGUGGGUGAAGAAGGGCCUCGGCGCGUAAAGCCCUGUCAGCAGGGAAGAAAAUGACGGUACCUGAAGAAGAAGCCCCGGCUAACUACGGGCCAGCAGCCGCGGGAAUACGUAGGGGGCAAGCGUUAUCCGGAUUUACUGGGUGUACAGGGGGCGCAGCCGGCGCGGCAAGCCAGGAGCGAAAGCCCGGGGCCCCACCCCGGGACUGCUCUUGGAACUGCGUGGCUGGAGUGCAGGAGGGGCAGGCGGAAUUCCUGGUGUAGCGGUGAACUGCGUAGAUAUCAGGAGGACCACCGGUGGCGAAGGCGGCCUGCUGGACUGCAACUGACGUUGAGGCCCG
RNAcentral lists this ribosomal RNA (400 nucleotides) under uncultured bacterium. RNAcentral describes it as "partial 16S ribosomal RNA". It matches the Rfam family "Bacterial small subunit ribosomal RNA", at positions 338 to 755 of the family's 1533-position model. The record is from RNAcentral.